AGAGGAGAGUCUUAGACCCGUCCACCUCCCACCCAUGAGCGGGAACUUUUGGGGGCACGCACCAGCAUCUCUUUGCCCAAGCUCUGGGCUGGUGAGGCAGCUGUGGAGUUAACUGUCUUUUUUUUAUUUGUGUCUCUGCGCCUGUCCUGGGAGAGGCAUGAUGGAUGCCCUGAGCUCCCCGGGGGGCAAAGCUGAGGGAUGAACUGAGGUGGGAAAGAAAAGCAGAGAUAGAUGUUUACUUACAAUGGAAGACAACAAAAGCCAGAAUGGCAACAGACUUAGGAAAUGCCACGUUCUCUCGAGGAGCCAGGCCGGCCUCUGGAGGAUGCCUGACGGGGCCCUGUGAGGAAGAACUGGUUGAUGGGCAGCAUCGCACGUGACAAAGAGAACCCCGAAGAGGUUGUGUGUUAGCAUUGCGGCGACGGAGAGGAUAAAGCGGCAAGAGGAAGAGUCAUCCUGCCUCCCCCUCUCCUGUGGAAAAGGCAGGCAGCCCACCAGGAGGACUUCAGCUCCACAGAGGGCCAGAUGGCAAUAGGCCCCUCACAGGGAAGCCAGCAGCAGGGGUGGCAGAUGGUCCCUAGCCUGCAGAGGAUCUCUGCAAAGAGGCUUCAUACAAGAGGGAACAAAGUUUCUGGCACCACCAUGCAGUAUGUGCUAGUAAAUGUUUAACAAAUAGCUGUCCAGAAAAAAAAGUCUCUGAUUUGUAGCACUGGCCAAUUUUCGUGGUGUAAACACUCUCACCGUCAUCAAUUUCAGGCUCUCAACCUGAACAAGGAGUCACUGAAAGAGGAGUUGGGAAGAAACGUGCAAGAUCAGCUCUGGCAGGCCAGUAGGAGCAGCGCUAGCAUGCCGCUGCCCCGGGCUAGGCCUGCAGGCCUCCCACAGAAGGGAAGGAGAGCCCAGCGAAUUCUUAGGGGACUCGAUGUAUUUUCUAUAGAUUUCUGCUCUCUGUGUGUUCCCUCUUCUCUUUCAACAUAAACAAUGAACAUUCGGCUGUGAUUCCGUUAAGUAUGACCUCAUGAACUCAGGGUUUAAAAAAAGUCAUUUUUCAGAACCACAGCCUAUAUUUGGACCCAAAUUGGCAGAAAGGACUGAGGGUUACACCUUUUAUAAAAUAACAACAAUAAAUAUUUUUUAGUAUUCUUCAAAUAUUACCCUAGAGCUCGUCAUACACAGCUUGAGAUGGUCAAUAACAGGCAACAUUUAUUGAGUGCCCACUGUGUACCACGUACCCUACAUGUAUUAACUCAUUUAAUCUUUACUACAACUUUAUGAGAAAGGUACUAUUAUUUAGAGAAUUACACCUUUUAAACAAAUAACCAUAGUGAAUACUUUUGAAUAAAACUAUGUGUUAUUCUAGACUGUUCACAAUGCAGUUUGAGAUGGUUAAAAAUAGCAAACAUUUAGUGAGUGAGCACUAGGCACCUGAUGUUUUCCAUGAACUCUCCAUUGAAUUUUUUUUGAAGUUUUUUUUUUCUUUGAGGAAGACUGGCCCUGAGCUAACAUCCAUUUCCAUCUUCCUCUACUUUAUGUGUGGGACACCUGCCACAGCAUGGCUUGAUAAGCGAUGCGUAGGUCUGCACCCGGGAUCCGAACCUGCAAAGCCCAGGCUGCCAAAGCGAAGCACAUGAACUUAACCACUACACCACCAGGCCAGUCCCUCCAUUGAAUUUCUAUAAUGACCUAUGAGCCAGGUGUUACUACGAUACUUACAUUACAGUUAAAGGAAAUAGAGGACAGAAAGUGACUUCCUGAAGGUCAGGGUCACACCCAGGCAGCCUGGCACCAAAGCGUGCUCUUUCGUAUGGGACUCUACCAUUUCUGAGCAGAAAUGUUCCUAGGCAGAUCCUUGACCUUCAGGGGAGAUGUCUGACCUUGAUUUAAAAGCAAUGCACUUCUCGUUCAAAUGUUUCUGCACAGCUGCCCUUCCCAACGUGGGCACUUCCUUCAGGCUGUAAACACUACCUUUCUCACUUGGCAGCAGAUACUGGUUGGCAUUAUGUUACUGUGGUCUGUGAUUUAGAGCUGAAGUAUCCACGUGCUGAGAAGUCAGGAGAUGAAUCUGGAAUCAAAUGCUAUUCUCCGAAUUGCUAGUCAAGUUCAAUGUUAUCCCCUUGAAAACCACUCCUAAACCACAUGCAAUUCAGCUCAAGUAAGGGGGUUAAAGAAAGUCAGAUUUCAGGAGGCUUCUAUUGAUCUCCAUCUUUAGUCUGUUUAGUACUGAAACAGUUUUGAAGUUUCUGCCUCAUUGGAGUGACAUAAUUUACACCUUUCUUUCUGAGGUUGUCUUAGCUGAGCUGCACAGCGGUGUUCUUAUGUAGACAAAGCUACUGGAGUUUAGAAACAGGAAAGGCUAGAAACUCACUUUUUAAAGUAAAAUAAAGCUUACACAGUGGGGG
Molecule: long non-coding RNA, 2399 nt
Organism: Equus caballus (horse)
Lineage: Eukaryota; Metazoa; Chordata; Mammalia; Perissodactyla; Equidae
Source: Ensembl